UACAGAGGGUGCAAGCGUUGUUCGGAAUCACUGGGCGUAAAGCGCGCGCAGGCGGAUGGUUGCGUCCGGAGUGAAAUUUCGCCGCUCAACGGCGAAGCUGCUUUGGAUACGGACCGUCUAGGGACCGGUAGAGGCUGGUAGAAUUGCAGGUGUAGCGGUGGAAUGCGUAGAGAUCUGCAAGGAUACCCGUGGCGAAGGCGGCCAGCUGGGCCGGAUCCGACGCUGAGGCGCGAAAGCGUGGGGAGCAAACAGG
RNAcentral lists this ribosomal RNA (253 nucleotides) under uncultured bacterium. RNAcentral describes it as "partial 16S ribosomal RNA". It matches the Rfam family "Bacterial small subunit ribosomal RNA", at positions 524 to 776 of the family's 1533-position model. The record is from RNAcentral.